Molecule: long non-coding RNA, 1444 nt
Filed under: Salmo salar (Atlantic salmon)
Lineage: Eukaryota; Metazoa; Chordata; Actinopteri; Salmoniformes; Salmonidae
Description: lncRNA (ENSSSAG00000105644.1)
Source: RNAcentral
AUUACUCAUAAUAGUUGUUUGAUAUGCAUUUGAUGUCUAGCUGUUUAGUUCAUUGUGGACAUUAUCGCGCAACAUCAGCUGAUUCAGGAAAGGAUUUUCAGAAUGACUGUCAAGUGAUAAAGAGGUUGUGUGAUACUGCACGCGAUUUAACAACAGCUAAAGUGCGGGAAUUAAUGUUUAUCUUGAGGAUUGACAGAACAUUUUGGUGUCUAUGUUGUUAAGGUGGUCUAAAUAAUUAGCCUACUUCUUCGACAACAUAUCAAGAUUCGCAGGUCUUCAGCUACCCAGACCUGUCUGAUCAGCCUGGUACGGUGCCGUGGGUGUGUCCAGUUCACGCCUGUGCAAAUCUGUGUGUGUAUAGCAAUAGAAGUAAAUAUCCAAUGCCUCAAAUGUCAUGCUGUAGGUUCACCACACACCCGAAGGGUUGUGGGGUCCUGUCUAGAAACAACCCCUAGCCCUUACCCCUUACCCCUAGUGGAGAUCUGAGAGAAUUGGUCUGGUGUAAGCAAUACUGCCAAAAUUCCACCAUGCCUAUCAGAGGGUAAGGUGGAGCUCUCAGCAUGUCACCACCCAUCAAUCCCUCUCAGAUCUCCACAAGUGUCUAGAAUCUGGGCAGUAGGGGCAAGGGGUUGUUUCUGGAAAGGCCAUGAAUAUUAUGGUAGCUCAGUCAGUCAGUCUGGCACUGUCAAAAAAUGGGAAUAGCUGUCAAAUACUUGCUUCCUCUGCCCUUGGGAGAAUGUCAAUUACAUUUCCUUGAUUUGUUGAAUCCUCUUUCCUCAUCUCCUUCUCAAAACCCAUUGGAUGAGAAGGUCAGAGGUCCCUCCCCUCUCACCUUCUUAUUCAAUGGGCUUUGAGGAGGCGAGGAGAGAGGAAGUGAGGAAUGAAGGAAAUGCAAUUAAAUUCUCUUCUUGUUUCCUCCAUUCCUCACCUCCUCAAAGCUCAUUGGGGAGAGGAGGGAAGGACAGAGGAAGCAAGAAAGUGAUAGUUUACACACACACACACACACACACACACACUGCUUGAAGAGUUUACUGAUCAUAGUAAAUUAAAUAUUGGUUAUUAAUGAUUUUGUUGACAGGACCCAUUGUAUUAUUUGAUUGUAUUCAAUUAUUAUAUCAACUAUUUUUUUUCAAUUGUAUCUUUUUCAUUCUUCUGGAAUGUUUAGCAUGGCAAAAAUGAUAGAGAAGUUGACCAAUGCACAAACAGACCUGGCUGCUAAGCAUGAUAUUUAAUAUUUUGAAUGACAUGUAGAGGUUUUGUUGUUGCUAGGAGUUAUGGUCUUGUUGUGCCUAUCUAGAAUCGUAUUACUAUAAUUACACAUGUGAAGCUGCUAGAAAAUCAUAUUUAAAUGUACACUACCGGUAAAGAGUUUUAGAACACCUACUCAUUCAUUUUACAUUUACAUUUAAGUCAUUUAGCAGACACUUUUAUCCAGAGCGACUUA